CAGAGGCUGCGCAGGCUGCGCGGCGGAGAGUAGAGAGCUAGACGGUGAGAAGCGCUGGGCCCGACUAGAACUGUCUUCGCUUUUCCCUCUGCGGCUGCUCUGGCUGGUUACUUUGAGCCUUCCUCCUCAGCGCCGCAGGAGAAACUCAACAGCAAAAAUGACUGUGUCCUGAGUUCAGCCCCCACUGCUCUGGGAGCUUCCCCCUGGUUUCUGCACCUGAAGAAUGUCUUCCCAGCCGAAGGUUCUUAGGAGCGGGGAGCGACAAAGAAAAACAAAGAAAAGCAGACCUGAAAAUUGGGACGUGGGAGAAAUGGGAACUCAGACCAAAAACAGGAAUCAUCCUUGCUAAUUAGUGCUGAGUGGAUCAGGGACUAACCAGAAUCAGGCAACAAGAAAAUAGACGAGUGCUCUAAACCAGUAUCAUGGCUCCAGUUCCUGACAAGGAUUCACAUGGGGUUGCCAUUCUGACUGUGCUGGUGACGCUGGUUCCAGGACCCUCAGGAACCCCUCCCCCAGUCUGGUCUGCCCUUGAACUCUGUACUGGCCCCGGGGUAUCCCAGGAUUGUCAGAAAGGCCUGGCCAGGAUUCACCUGGGAGAGGGAUCAGCAUCUCUGCAAAGUUGUUGGAUUGAAAGAACUUUCAUUUUGAGCUACAUCAUUGAAGAGCUUUAAAUCUGAAAAUAAGAAAGACGUUGAACCCUAUUACUCACAUCUCUUUGUCAUUUGAAGCAGAUCCCGAACCACUCAAAAGGACAAAACAAGGAAAUAAUAAUGAAAUUGGAUUCAGUGAAUGGGGUAAGGGUAUUAAGUGUCUGAAAUAUAAGAGAUAAAAAAA
Molecule: non-coding RNA, 834 nt
Filed under: Pongo abelii (Sumatran orangutan)
Lineage: Eukaryota; Metazoa; Chordata; Mammalia; Primates; Hominidae
Source: RNAcentral